Long non-coding RNA from Drosophila elegans, 471 nucleotides. RefSeq lists it as uncharacterized. The record is from RefSeq and is a predicted model, not a curated record. Lineage: Eukaryota; Metazoa; Arthropoda; Insecta; Diptera; Drosophilidae. The transcript is spliced from 2 exons.
CUCAUGGUUGCGGUAGGCGCAGCAAAAAAUGUGCUUUGACCAGGAAAAGGAGUUCCCCAACAGUAGGACCUGUUCCAGUCUUCAAAACUGAACCAUUAUCACGGAAUCUUUUCUCCCAGUGACGCUGCACUUCACAUAAAAUACAUAUGUACAUACAUACAUACUUUCGGAUGCCGGAAUUAGGUUCGCAAAGAACUUAAUGGUUUUAAACAACUUUGCGAUAAAUUGAGUUUCAAACCGAUCAAAUCGGAAAUAAACAAGAAAGGAAGCCAACUCCGGCAAGCCGAAGUUUGUAAAAAUUAAAUACUCUUUAAAACAUCUAAAUUUCGAAUAACAUUAUAUGUUUACAUCAUUUUUGUUGGUUCUAAAACAUGUUUAAAUUAUGUCAGAUCUAGAAAAUCAAUUUAACGGUUGUCAUGGAAAUUAAAAAUAAAAUAUCCGCUGAGGAUUUGAAUAUGCUUUUUAAUGUGA